GGUGUGACAUAACAGCAGGACUAUGAUGGACACAGAUGACCAGUGGACACGGGCUUUGGCCAGCAACAACGUUAGGGCCAUCCUCCGCUGGCUACACAGCCUCUUAGCUGAAGUGGGAGAUGCUGAUGUGGAGGACAGCCUCCCUUCUUUUAGCAGCUGGGUCCAGAGGACGGCUGAACUUUCAAAGGAGUUACUCACCCAAAGUUUCAGCAGCUGCCAGGGCCUGUGGAUGUUCCUGGACCACAGCUGCUGACCCUGGCCCAGUGGGGGAGGAGGCAUGGUUUGGGGAUUCCAUGUGUCUGCAGGGUCGACUGUGGCUCCUCAGCAGUAAGGCAGGACUGCUGGAAUCGGGAACGCAGAGCUCUGAAGCAACACAUCUGGCUGGGUCGGCUGGUACAGUGGUGGGGCAUCACCGGACUCCUGCCCAAGUACCCUGA
This 437-nucleotide long non-coding RNA is filed under the name Salmo trutta (river trout). RNAcentral's name for it is "lncRNA (ENSSTUG00000005397.1)". Lineage: Eukaryota; Metazoa; Chordata; Actinopteri; Salmoniformes; Salmonidae. The record is from RNAcentral.